RNA transcript from Corticium candelabrum, 1014 nucleotides. It is a transcript of the gene named pyridoxal phosphate phosphatase PHOSPHO2-like, with no coding region annotated. The record is from RefSeq and is a predicted model, not a curated record. Lineage: Eukaryota; Metazoa; Porifera; Homoscleromorpha; Homosclerophorida; Plakinidae. The transcript is spliced from 3 exons.
UCCAUCACUAUGAAUCCUGGAAGAUGCCUUGUUGUCUUUGACUUCGAUCACACUCUUGUCGACGACAAUUCAGACCCCUGGGUACUACAACUUCUCCGCAAGGCAGAACUAGAAGUGAGCACGAUGCGUCGCUCAGGCACUUGCUGGACAGACUGCAUGCAGCGCGGUUUUCGCCUCUUACACCAAAGCGGCAUCACCCGCGAAACAAUCCGGGAACGUCUCGAGCUAAUACCUCUCACCAAUUCGAUGAAACAGACGCUUCAUCUGCUCUCGUCCCACCCACGCAAUGACGUCAUCAUCAUCUCUGAUUCCAACAGUGUGUUCAUUGAUAUUGUUCUGUCUCACCACGGUCUGAGUGGAAUGUUUAAAGCAAUUUUGACAAAUCCUGCACAUUUUGAUGCAGAUGGGUUGCUGUGUGUGAGCUAUCAUUGUAGGAUACCUCACCACUGUCAUCGCCGUUGCCCUCCCAAUAUGUGCAAGGGUCUCAUAUUGCAACGAUUUCUGCAAGAAUCGAAGAGUGAAGGCACUUGCUAUGAGAAGGUUGUCUACAUUGGUGAUGGACGUGGUGAUUUCUGUGCCUGUCUUGGUCUCGGUCGAGGAGACGUCGCGAUGGCUAGGAAGGGUUAUUCGCUGCUUGACAUGUUGACGUCUGCAUCGGGACAUGAUGAGUUGAAAGCUGAACUUGUUGAAUGGAGUAGUGGUGAUGAUCUACUGAAGUUUUUUGAAACAUCUUAGUCAAGAUGUGGAAAGAUUUACAGUAACACAAUAUGGUUUAAAAGGCAAGAUAUUUCAUGUAGACAGACAUUCUGCUCACUAACAUAUUUAUUUCAUCACUCAAUUGAUGCAAGACAAUAUACCGCACUCUAACUUCUAAUACAGCAAGUUCUACAGAUACAAGACUCACAUCGACUAACAGACUGCAAAUAGCGAUAGAAUUAGUAGUGUCUAGAUGUGAUGUACUACAGUUGAUUCACAAUCAUGGCUCGUUGUUGACUUGAGCUGCAAAAAAUACAA